CAGUAGCCGCGGGAAUACGUAGGUGGCAAGCGUUGUCCGGAAUUAUUGGGCGUAAAGGGCUCGCAGGCGGCUUCUUAAGUCUGAUGUGAAAGCCCCCGGCUCAACCGGGGAGGGUCAUUGGAAACUGGGAAUCUUGAGUGCAGAAGAGGAGAGUGGAAUUCCACGUGUAGCGGUGAAAUGCGUAGAGAUGUGGAGGAACACCAGUGGCGAAGGCGACUCUCUGGUCUGUAACUGACGCUGAGGAGCGAAAGCGUGGGGAGCGAACAGGAUUAGAUACCCCCGUAGUCCCUGUCUCUUAUAC
Molecule: ribosomal RNA, 301 nt
Filed under: uncultured bacterium
Lineage: Bacteria
Description: partial 16S ribosomal RNA
Rfam family: Bacterial small subunit ribosomal RNA
Source: RNAcentral